AUGCGGCGGCUCAGCGACGCAGGGGAGGCCACGCCGCUGGUCACCCCCGCGGCGGCCGCGGCGGCGGGCGGCACCUUGGCAUCGCCGGCCGCUGCGGGGAGCAACGCCAACUUCGACGCCAACAUGGUGAUCAUCCUGGCCGCGCUGCUCUGCGUUCUCAUUUUCGCGCUUGGGCUCAACUCCGUCAUCCGCUGCGUGCUCCACUGCGGCCGCCGGCUCGCGCCGUCGUCGAGCCUCGCGGCCAGCGCCACCACGGCGAGGACGACGACAUCCGCGGGGCUCAAGAGGAAGGCGCUGAGGAAGAUACCCGUGGAGGUGUACGGCGGAGCCAAGUCGUCCGGCGGCGCCCUCCCAGCCACGGCCACGGAGUGCGCCAUCUGCCUCGGCGAGUUCGCCGACGGCGAGAAGGUACGCGUGCUCCCGCGGUGCCACCACGGAUUCCACGUCCGCUGCAUCGACAUGUGGCUCGCCACGCACACCUCCUGCCCCAACUGCCGGGCCUCGCUCGCUGAGGACGGCGCCGCCGCUGCCAACGGCGGAGGGAGAUAG
This 549-nucleotide ribosomal RNA is filed under the name Triticum aestivum (bread wheat). RNAcentral's name for it is "partial small subunit ribosomal RNA". The record is from RNAcentral. Lineage: Eukaryota; Viridiplantae; Streptophyta; Magnoliopsida; Poales; Poaceae.